This 483-nucleotide ribosomal RNA is filed under the name uncultured bacterium. Its description in RNAcentral is "bacterial SSU rRNA". It matches the Rfam family "Bacterial small subunit ribosomal RNA", at positions 8 to 518 of the family's 1533-position model. The record is from RNAcentral.
AGAGUUUGAUUAUGGCUCAGGAUGAACGCUGGCGGCGUGCCUAACACAUGCAAGUCGAGCGAUUUACUCCGGUAAAGAGCGGCGGACGGGUGAGUAACGCGUGGGUAACCUGCCUCAUACACAUGGAUAACAUACCGAAAGGUAUGCUAAUACAGGAUAAUAUAAGAGAUUCACAUGGAUUUCUUAUCAAAGCUCCGGCGGUAUGAGAUGGACCCGCGUCUGAUUAGCUAGUUGGUAAGGUAAUGGCUUACCAAGGCGACGAUCAGUAGCCGACCUGAGAGGGUGAUCGGCCACAUUGGAACUGAGACACGGUCCAAACUCCUACGGGAGGCAGCAGUGGGGAAUAUUGCACAAUGGGCGAAAGCCUGAUGCAGCAACGCCGCGUGAGUGAUGAAGGCCUUCGGGUCGUAAAACUCUGUCCUCAAGGAAGAUAAUGACGGUACUUGAGGAGGAAGCCCCGGCUAACUACGUGCCAGCCGCCGC